AUUGAACGCUGGCGGCAGGCCUAACACAUGCAAGUCGAGCGGAUGAAGGGAGCUUGCUCCUGGAUUCAGCGGUGGACGGGUGAGUAAUGCCUAGGAAUCUGCCUGGUAGUGGGGGAUAACGUCCGGAAACGGGCGCUAAUACCGCAUACGUCCUGAGGGCGACAGUGGGGGAUCUUCGGACCUCACGCUAUCAGAUUAGCAAAGGUCGGAUUCGCUAGUUGGUGGGGUAAAGGCAUAACAAGGCUACGAUCCGUAACUGGUCUGAGAGGAUGAUCAGACAGACUGGAAGUGAGAAAGGGCCGAGACACCGAGGGGAGGAAGCGGUGGGGAAUAUUAGAGGAUGGAGGAGUGGCUGAUCUAGGCAUGUCGGGUGAAGGAAGAAGGACUUAUGAUUGUAAAGCAAUGUAAGUUGGGAGGAAGGGAAGUAAGUUAAUACCGUACGGUAUUGACAGUACCAGCAGAAUAAGCACCGGCUAACUCCGUG
This 484-nucleotide ribosomal RNA is filed under the name uncultured bacterium. Its description in RNAcentral is "partial 16S ribosomal RNA". It matches the Rfam family "Bacterial small subunit ribosomal RNA", at positions 29 to 507 of the family's 1533-position model. The record is from RNAcentral.